AGAGUUUGAUCAUGGCUCAGAUUGAACGCUGGCGGCGUGGUUAAAGCAUGCAAGUCGAACGUGGCCGCAAGGCCAAGUGGCGAAAGGGUGAGUAAUACGAUCCUAACGUGCCCUGAGGUGGGGGAUAGGUCGGGGAAACCCGGCGUAAUACCCCAUGAUCUCUCCGGAGCAAAGAUUUAUCGCCUUGGGAGCGGGGAUCGACCUAUCAGGUAGUUGGCGGGGUAAUGGCCCACCAAGCCGAAGACGGGUAGCAGGUGUGAGAGCACGGCCUGCCACAUCGGGACUGAGACACUGCCCGGACUCCUACGGGAGGCUGCAGCGACGAAUCUUCCGCAAUGGGCGAAAGCCUGACGGAGCGACGCCGCGUGCGGGAUGAAGCGGCUCUGCCGUGUAAACCGCUGUCAGGGGUUCGAAACACUGAUCAACCCCAAAGGAAGGGGCGACUAACUCUGUGCCAGCCGCCGCGGUAAUAC
This 473-nucleotide ribosomal RNA is filed under the name uncultured bacterium. RNAcentral's name for it is "bacterial SSU rRNA". It matches the Rfam family "Bacterial small subunit ribosomal RNA", at positions 8 to 526 of the family's 1533-position model. The record is from RNAcentral.